This 506-nucleotide long non-coding RNA is filed under the name Ornithorhynchus anatinus (platypus). RNAcentral's name for it is "lncRNA (ENSOANG00000050506.1)". The record is from RNAcentral. Lineage: Eukaryota; Metazoa; Chordata; Mammalia; Monotremata; Ornithorhynchidae.
GGAACCUGACAUCAGCACAUUGGCUUCCAGAUCUACGCACUGUGAGUGAAAGCUUCAAUUUCACUCACCAUCUUGGAGACUCCAGGCAGGCUGCAGUGGGGUGAGGGGAGCAGUGCAGAGCCGACGACAUCUCAGGCCCUGAAAUGGAAUGUUUUGCCAAGCUACAACUUAAAACGGGAUCAGCAAAAUGUUUUCUUUCUUGGCAAUCAUCAUGAAGUCAUUGUCCAAUUGAGGACAUUAAACACUUCAGAGCUUCACUGUACGAGGUCUCCUAAAAGAACUGUGGUUCUUGGAAUCGAAUAUCUCACCAGCAGUUACACAGGGGUGCACUUGUCAUUACUUCAAGGGACUCUUGUGAGCAUGGGGAAAGACUGAUUGGUGCCUGGAGUUGCAGACUUUUCCCCGGAUAGAAGGGCGGGCAGGCUGGCUGCUUGGGAAGGCUUGGCCCUUGCUCAAAGAUCGCACUGGAUUUCCAAGCAGAGAAGCCGCCAGGAACAACCCUUUCA